Long non-coding RNA from Oreochromis niloticus (Nile tilapia), 192 nucleotides. RefSeq lists it as uncharacterized. The transcript is spliced from 3 exons. Lineage: Eukaryota; Metazoa; Chordata; Actinopteri; Cichliformes; Cichlidae. The record is from RefSeq and is a predicted model, not a curated record.
CACCCACUUCAGAGGCAGCUGGAUUAAAGAUUUCUCGUGGUCUGAAACUUAUGAUGCUCAAUUUUGGCUCAAGAAGAAUGACUCAAAGGCUGUGAAGAUGAUGAAACAGGAAGAAGACUUUGCGUGUACCUUCAUCGAAGAAGCAAACUGCAAAAUUCUAGAGAUGCCUUACAGCGGGGAGGAAGUGAGCAU